RNAcentral lists this ribosomal RNA (846 nucleotides) under uncultured Rhizophagus. Its description in RNAcentral is "eukaryotic LSU rRNA". It matches the Rfam family "Eukaryotic large subunit ribosomal RNA", at positions 1 to 673 of the family's 3401-position model. The record is from RNAcentral. Lineage: Eukaryota; Fungi; Glomeromycota; Glomeromycetes; Glomerales; Glomeraceae.
GUGUCUAUAAAUUUUUUCAUGAUUUGACCUCAAAUCAGGUAGGAACACCCGCUGAACUUAAGCAUAUCAAUAAGCGGAGGAAAAGAAAAUAACAAUGAUUCCCCUAGUAACUGCGAGUGAAGAGGGACAAGCUCAAAUUUUAAAUCUGUUAGGUUUUUACCUGACCGAGUUGUAAUUUGAAGAGGCGUUUUCCGCGUAUUUGGUCAACCCAAGUCCUAUUGAAUGAGGCAUCAUGGAGGGUGAUAAUCCCGUCCGGUUGAUCAUUGCGUUUUACGAUACGCUUUCUAAGAGUCAAGUUGUUUGGGAUUGCAGCUUAAAAUGGGAGGUAAAUUUCUCCUAAGGCUAAAUAACGGCGAGAGACCGAUAGCGAACAAGUACCGUGAGGGAAAGAUGAAAAGUACUUUGAAAAGAGAGUUAAACAGUACGUGAAAUUGUUGAAAGGGAAACGAUUGAAGUCAGUCGUACCAGUGGAUAAUCAGCCUUUAGAUGCGAUUUUGUGGAGCGUGAAGAGCUAAUCGCCUUCAUGCCUGUAUAUUCGUGUACUUGGGGUGUACUUAUUCGUGUGGUAAGUUAACAUCAAUUUUGGUUGUCAUAAAAUGAUUGGAGGAAUGUAGCUUCGAUCUCGUAUUGAAGUGUUAUAGCCUUUGGUAGAUGUGACGAUCGGGAUUGAGGAUUGCAACGGAUACCCUUCGGGGCUACCUGUCUGAUCUCUGAUUGUUGCUCUGGUGCUGAAAGCUUGCUUAUGGUUAUCAAAGUCGAUGGUCAAUAGGUUAGAAUGGGUUAAAUUCGUUAAGGAUGUUGACGUAAUGGCUUUAAACGACCCGUCUCGAAACACGGACCGAGGAG